Erinaceus europaeus (western European hedgehog) is the source of this 1190-nucleotide long non-coding RNA. RefSeq lists it as uncharacterized. NCBI's taxonomy places the organism in Eukaryota, Metazoa, Chordata, Mammalia, Eulipotyphla, Erinaceidae. The record is from RefSeq and is a predicted model, not a curated record. The transcript is spliced from 2 exons.
UUACCUUCUUUCCUUCCUUCCUUCCUUCCUUCCUUCCUCCCUUCCUCCCUUCCUCCCUUUUCUCAUUUACCCUCCUAGAUUCUCUAGCUGGAGCCUAGUCAAUUGGAUGGAAAAAAGACAUAUCAACAAGAAACAGCAUGUGGAUUUAUUUCACAUAAUUUUAAUAUAACCCUGGAGUUUCCACAUGGAAAUAAAGACUAGAGGUCAAGCUUGAGCACUUUAUACUAGAUCUGAAGAAGAAAAUGCCACAGAGAAAUGUCACAAGACAAAAGAACAUGAUCUCAUGGGCGUAAACGCAGUGGCCUUGGCGAGACCUGCUCCUUCCUCUUCUGACACAGCCGUGCUGCUUCCCUGUCGGGCUGGAGCGAGCUGCUGUCAGUGGGCGUCUUUCCACCUGCCUCAGGCGUGGGGCCCAGCCCCUUCCUGGUUGCCCUGUGCACAGCGCUUGCCUACCUGGCAGUUGCCCUCGGUGGGUCUUCCUGCCAAGGCCGUCCUUUCCCUUCACGUGGGUCAAGGCAGUCGGAAGUGGAAAGCAUCAUCCUGUUUUCUGUCAAAUUCCCUUUUGUUGUUGUUGUUGUUGCUAUUGACACUCAGGACUGACUUUCUCCAGAGACGUGUAGAGAGAUAGAGAGAUAGAGAGGGCAAGACGCCACAGUACUGACGUUUCUCCUAGUCUGGUGGAGGCUUGAACCUGAGAUGUGAAUGUGGCAAAGCCCGCACACUACCCAUCCGUGCCAUUGUGCUGGCCCUGCCAUGCGGUUUCAAAAGCUGCUAUUUCCCCAUGCCAUUUGCCUGAAAAUCAGCAUGUGAAUAUUUCCAAAGCCCCUUCUGUCCUUACAGUCCACGCUAUCUUUCUGGUGAACCGAGCAGGGCUAGGGGAUAGCAUAAAGGUUUCGCAAAAAAAAAGAAAAGAAACUCUCACGCCUGAGACUCCAAAGUCGUAGGACCAAUCCCCAGUACCACCAUAGGACCAAUCCCCAUAGGACUCUGGUAAAACCAAAACAAAAAUGAACAAGCAAACAGAUUAGCUGACCAGUGCUGUCAUAUGGCCAGGAAGAGAUGGCAGAGGUUAACGCACACCAGACUUGUAUGUCUGAGGGCCACGGGUCCCAGCUUCAGCUCCCGGAACCCUGUGAGGAGAGCUCAGUGCUGCUCUGAUCUCUCUCAUCAUAAAUAAAUAGUUAAACCUG